RNAcentral lists this ribosomal RNA (301 nucleotides) under uncultured bacterium. Its description in RNAcentral is "partial 16S ribosomal RNA". It matches the Rfam family "Bacterial small subunit ribosomal RNA", at positions 509 to 807 of the family's 1533-position model. The record is from RNAcentral.
CAGUAGCCGCGGUAAUACGAAGGGGGCUAGCGUUGCUCGGAAUCACUGGGCGUAAAGGGUGCGUAGGCGGGUCUUUAAGUCAGAGGUGAAAGCCUGGAGCUCAACUCCAGAACUGCCUUUGAUACUGAGGAUCUUGAGUUCGGGAGAGGUGAAUGGAACUGCGAGUGUAGAGGUGAAAUUCGUAGAUAUUCGCAAGAACACCAGUGGCGAAGGCGGCUCACUGGCCCGAUACUGACGCUGAGGCACGAAAGCGUGGGGAGCAAACAGGAUUAGAUACCCCCGUAGUCCCUGUCUCUUAUAC